GAUGAAGAACGUAGCGAAAUGCGAUAAGUAGUGUGAAUUGCAGAAUUUAGUGAAUCAUCGAAUUUUUGAACGCAUAUUGCGCCCUAUAGUAUUCUGUGGGGCAUGCCUGUCUGAGCGUCAUUUCAACCCUCAUGCCCCUAGGGCGUGGUGUUGGGGAUCGGCCAGCGCCCGCGAGGGACGGCCGGCCCCUAAAUCUAGUGGCGGACCCGUCGUGGCCUCCCCUGCGAAGUAGUGAUAUUCCGCAUAGGAGAGCGACGAGCCCCUGCCGUUAAACCCCCAACUUUCUAAGGUUGACCUCAGAUCAGGUAGGAAUACCCGCUGAACUUAAGCAUAUCAAUAAGCGGAGGA
Molecule: unclassified non-coding RNA, 348 nt
Filed under: soil metagenome
Description: partial contains 5.8S ribosomal RNA, internal transcribed spacer 2, and large subunit ribosomal RNA
Rfam family: 5.8S ribosomal RNA (bases 1-120)
Source: RNAcentral